RNAcentral lists this long non-coding RNA (355 nucleotides) under Capsella rubella. RNAcentral's name for it is "long non-coding RNA (CRUB_LNC004134)". The record is from RNAcentral. Lineage: Eukaryota; Viridiplantae; Streptophyta; Magnoliopsida; Brassicales; Brassicaceae.
AAGAGUGCUUCAUCAUCAAAUACCAAAAGAGUUGAUUAUUACAAUAACCACUAUAAAUUAAUAAUGUUGGGAGCAUGAUAUUUUAUUAAUUUAUAGUGAUAUAAAUUUAUCUAUAAAUUAAUAUUUAUUAUUUUAUAAUUUUAAUUAGUAAUAAUCAUUAAUUUAUAGUGGUAGGUCUAGGCAAAAAAAAAAACAGAAAACAAAAAUCCAUACCUAAAUGAAUCUGAAAACUUUGAUCCGAAUUUGAAAUUAUACAUUUGUCCUAUUAGAUCCUAAACUCUUCUACCCAACAGACCCAAACUCAAACAUUUUGUGUACUUGAACAUGACCGGAGUACCCAAAUGUCAUGGCCCAA